CUGUUCAGUUACAAUGCUGGCUGUUGUAGUUAAUGUGAGUUCAGUAGAGGUGGUCGUGGUGACUGUAGUGGUUACAGCCUCAGUGGAAGUGCCUGCAGUUGUGGUGGGACACAGUUCAGUUGCAGUGCUGGAGGUUGUAGUGUGGGUGGUAUCUGUUGUUGUUGUAACUGCAGUGGGAGUAUCUCCAGUUGUUGUGGCAGUGGUGUCUGUUGUGGUUGUAACUCCAGUGGAAGUACCUUCAGUUGUUGUGGUAGACUGUUCAGUUGCAGUGCUGGCUGUUGUUCUGGUUGUGGAUUCAGUAGAGGUGGUUGUGUGCUGGCUGUUGUGGUGGUGGAAUUAGUAGAGGUGGUAGUGUUGGCUGUUGUGGUUGUAGUCUCAAUGGAAGUUCCUGCAGUUGUGGUGGUAGACUGUUCAGUUGCAGUGCUUGCUGUGGUUGUCAUUGCAGGUUCAGCAGAUGUGGUAGUGGUGGCUGUUGUGGUUAUUGUCUCAGUGGAAGUGCCAGCAGUUUUGGUGGAAGACUGUUCAGUUGCAGUGCUUGCUGUUGUUGUGGUUGUGGGUUCAGUAGAAAUGGUAUUGGUUGCUGUUAUUGUUGUAGUCUCAGUGCGGUGAGGAAGUGCCAGCAGUUGUGGUAGCAGGCUGUUCAGUUGUAGUGCUGGUUGCUGUUGUGGUUGUGGGUUCAGUAGAGGUGGCAGUGAUGACUACUGUGUUUUUGGUCUCAGUAGCAGUGGCUACAGUUGUGGUGGCAGACUCUUUAGCUGCAGUGCUUAUUGUGGUUGUCAUUGUGGGUUCAGUAUAAGUGGUAGUGGUGGCUGUUGUGGCUGUUGUCUCAGUGGAAGUGCCUGCAGUUGUGGUGGCAGACUGUUCAGUUACCAUGCUGGUUGUUGUACUGCUGGGUUCAGUAGACGUGGCAGUGGUGUCUGUUUUGUCUGUAAUUCCAUUGGAAGUACCUUCAGUUGCUGUGGCAGACUGUUCAGUUGUAGUGCUGGCUGUUGUUGUGGUUGUGCAUUCAGUAGAGGUGGUAGUGGUGGCUGUUGUGGUUGUAGUCUGAGUGGAAGUGCCUACAGUUGUGGUAGUACUCUGUUCAGUUGCAGUGUUGGCUGUUGUUGUGGCUGUGGAUUCAGUAGCGGUUGUGGUGGUGGCUGUUGUGGCUGUUGUCUCAGUGGAAGUGCCUGAAGUUGUAGUGGCAGACUGUUCAGUUGCAG
This 1202-nucleotide long non-coding RNA is filed under the name Papio anubis (olive baboon). RNAcentral's name for it is "lncRNA (ENSPANG00000043879.1)". Lineage: Eukaryota; Metazoa; Chordata; Mammalia; Primates; Cercopithecidae. The record is from RNAcentral.